CCUACGGGGAGGCAGCAGUGGGGAAUUUUGGACAAUGGGNGAAAGCCUGAUCCAGCAAUGCCGCGUGCAGGAAGAAGGCCUUCGGGUUGUAAACUGCUUUUGUACGGAACGAAACGGUCUGNUUUAAUACGGUGGGCUAAUGACGGUACCGUAAGAAUAAGCACCGGCUAACUACGUGCCAGCAGCCGCGGUAAUACGUAGGGUGCGAGCGUUAAUCGGAAUUACUGGGCGUAAAGCGUGCGCAGGCGGUUAUAUAAGACAGAUGUGAAAUCCCCGGGCUCAACCUGGGACCUGCAUUUGUGACUGCAUAGCUAGAGUACGGUAGAGGGGGAUGGAAUUCCGCGUGUAGCAGUGAAAUGCGUAGAUAUGCGGAGGAACACCGAUGGCGAAGGCAAUCCCCUGGACCUGUACUGACGCUCAUGCACGAAAGCGUGGGGAGCAAACAGGAUUAGAUACCCUGGUAGUCCACGCCCUAAACGAUGUCAACUGGUUGUUGGGUC
This 500-nucleotide ribosomal RNA is filed under the name Antarctic bacterium A1. RNAcentral's name for it is "bacterial SSU rRNA". It matches the Rfam family "Bacterial small subunit ribosomal RNA", at positions 338 to 829 of the family's 1533-position model. The record is from RNAcentral.